Molecule: long non-coding RNA, 216 nt
Filed under: Lathyrus oleraceus (garden pea)
Lineage: Eukaryota; Viridiplantae; Streptophyta; Magnoliopsida; Fabales; Fabaceae
Description: Pisum sativum (pea) long non-coding RNA (PSAT_LNC016127)
Source: RNAcentral
AAAAAGCUAGGGAGGAAAUAUCUAAUCAAGAGAUAGGAAGCUUUAUGACAUAAGUCAAGCAAGAAUUUCCUCAUUUGGAUUAAGCCUCAAGCAAGCCAAAUAAGCAAAGAAUAAAUCAUGUAUCAGAUGAAACCAGAAUAACCUAGCCAAGUCUUCAAAAUAAGUCCAAAGUCAAAGGUACCAGAUGAAUCCCAAGGUCUCAAAUCACAAGUUCCC